CCUACGGGAGGCAGCAGUGGGGAAUUUUGGACAAAGGGCGCGAGCCUGAUCCAGCAAUGCCGCGUGAGUGAAGAAGGCCUUCGGGUUGUAAAGCUCUUUUUUCAGGGAAGAAACGGUAGAGGCUAAUAUCCUUUUAAAAUGACGGUCCCUGAAGAAUAAGUACCGUAUAACUACGUCCCAGCAGGCGCGGUAAUAGGUAGGGCGCAAGCGUUCAUGGGUAUUUCUGGGCGUAAAGUGUGCACAGGCGGUUUUGUAAGUGCGACGUGAAAUCCCCGGGCUCACCCUGGGAAUUGGGUUGGAGAUUGCAUGUCUAGUAUGGGGCAGACGGAGGUAGAAUUCCACGUAAAGCAGUGAAAUGUGUAGAGAGGUGGAGGAACAGGGAUGGAGAAGGCAGCCCCGGGGGUCAAGAUUCACGCUCAUGCACGAAAGCGUGGGGAGCAAACAGGAUUAGAUACCCGGAGAGUCCACCCCCUAAACGACGUCUAGGAGUUGUCGGGUUUUAAUUCACUUGGUAACGCAGCUAACGCGUUAAGUAGACCGCUUGGGGAGACCGUAAAAUUG
This 561-nucleotide ribosomal RNA is filed under the name uncultured beta proteobacterium. RNAcentral's name for it is "bacterial SSU rRNA". It matches the Rfam family "Bacterial small subunit ribosomal RNA", at positions 338 to 894 of the family's 1533-position model. Lineage: Bacteria; Pseudomonadati; Pseudomonadota; Betaproteobacteria. The record is from RNAcentral.